This 276-nucleotide unclassified non-coding RNA is filed under the name plant metagenome. RNAcentral's name for it is "partial contains small subunit ribosomal RNA, internal transcribed spacer 1, and 5.8S ribosomal RNA". The stretch from base 1 to 54 matches the Rfam family "Eukaryotic small subunit ribosomal RNA", at positions 1778 to 1831 of the family's 1831-position model. The record is from RNAcentral.
GGAAGUAAAAGUCGUAACAAGAUUUCCGUAGGUGAACCUGCGGAAGGAUCAUUAACGAGUUAGGGUCUCUCUGGCCCGACCUCCCAACCCUUUGUCUACUUGACCAUCGUUGCUUCGGCGAGCCCGUCCUCACGGACCGCCGGAGGGACCUUUACUGGCCCUCUGGUCCGCGCUCGUCGGUAGCCCAACCUUUAAAAUCUUUAACUAAACGUGCCUUAAUCUAAGUACAAUUAUUAAAUAAAAGCAAAACUUUCAACAACGGAUCUCUUGGUUCUG